This 496-nucleotide ribosomal RNA is filed under the name uncultured bacterium. Its description in RNAcentral is "partial 16S ribosomal RNA". It matches the Rfam family "Bacterial small subunit ribosomal RNA", at positions 29 to 507 of the family's 1533-position model. The record is from RNAcentral.
ACGAACGCUGGCGGCGUGCCUAAUACAUGCAAGUUGAGCGCUGAAGGUUGGUACUUGUACCGACUGGAUGAGCAGCGAACGGGUGAGUAACGCGUGGGGAAUCUGCCUUUGAGCGGGGGACAACAUUUGGAAACGAAUGCUAAUACCGCAUAAAAACUUUAAACACAAGUUUUAAGUUUGAAAGAUGCAAUUGCAUCACUCAAAGAUGAUCCCGCGUUGUAUUAGCUAGUUGGUGAGGUAAAGGCUCACCAAGGCGAUGAUACAUAGCCGACCUGAGAGGGUGAUCGGCCACAUUGGGAAUGGGACACGGCCCAAACUCCUACGGGAGGCAGCAGUAGGGAAUCUUCGGCAAUGGACGAAAGUCUGACCGAGCAACGCCGCGUGAGUGAAGAAGGGUUUCGGAUCGUAAAACUCUGUUGGUAGAGAAGAACGUUGGUGAGAGUGGAAAGCUCAUCAAGUGACGGUAACUACCCAGAAAGGGACGGCUAACUACGUG